GGCCCUGUGGUGUAAUGGUUCGCACUCGCCCCUCAUAAGGGUUGCGGUAACAGUUCAAAUCUGUUCGGGGCUACCA
The sequence is a transfer RNA, 76 nucleotides long. It matches the Rfam family "tRNA". From Rfam's summary of the family: Transfer RNA (tRNA) molecules are approximately 80 nucleotides in length.